This 2930-nucleotide ribosomal RNA is filed under the name Bacillus thuringiensis. RNAcentral's name for it is "23S ribosomal RNA". It matches the Rfam family "Bacterial large subunit ribosomal RNA". Lineage: Bacteria; Bacillati; Bacillota; Bacilli; Caryophanales; Bacillaceae. The record is from RNAcentral.
UUUGGUUAAGUUAGAAAGGGCGCACGGUGGAUGCCUUGACACUAGGAGUCGAUGAAGGACGGGACUAACGCCGAUAUGCUUCGGGGAGCUGUAAGUAAGCUUUGAUCCGAAGAUUUCCGAAUGGGGAAACCCACCAUACGUAAUGGUAUGGUAUCCUUACCUGAAUACAUAGGGUAAGGAAGACAGACCCAGGGAACUGAAACAUCUAAGUACCUGGAGGAAGAGAAAGCAAAUGCGAUUUCCUGAGUAGCGGCGAGCGAAACGGAACAUAGCCCAAACCAAGAGGCUUGCCUCUUGGGGUUGUAGGACAUUCUAUACGGAGUUACAAAGGAACGAGGUAGACGAAGCGACCUGGAAAGGUCCGUCGUAGAGGGUAACAACCCCGUAGUCGAAACUUCGUUCUCUCUUGAAUGUAUCCUGAGUACGGCGGAACACGUGAAAUUCCGUCGGAAUCUGGGAGGACCAUCUCCCAAGGCUAAAUACUCCCUAGUGAUCGAUAGUGAACCAGUACCGUGAGGGAAAGGUGAAAAGCACCCCGGAAGGGGAGUGAAAGAGAUCCUGAAACCGUGUGCCUACAAAUAGUCAGAGCCCGUUAACGGGUGAUGGCGUGCCUUUUGUAGAAUGAACCGGCGAGUUACGAUCCCGUGCGAGGUUAAGCUGAAGAGGCGGAGCCGCAGCGAAAGCGAGUCUGAAUAGGGCGUUUAGUACGUGGUCGUAGACCCGAAACCAGGUGAUCUACCCAUGUCCAGGGUGAAGUUCAGGUAACACUGAAUGGAGGCCCGAACCCACGCACGUUGAAAAGUGCGGGGAUGAGGUGUGGGUAGCGGAGAAAUUCCAAUCGAACCUGGAGAUAGCUGGUUCUCCCCGAAAUAGCUUUAGGGCUAGCCUUAAGUGUAAGAGUCUUGGAGGUAGAGCACUGAUUGGACUAGGGGUCCUCAUCGGAUUACCGAAUUCAGUCAAACUCCGAAUGCCAAUGACUUAUCCUUAGGAGUCAGACUGCGAGUGAUAAGAUCCGUAGUCAAAAGGGAAACAGCCCAGACCGCCAGCUAAGGUCCCAAAGUGUGUAUUAAGUGGAAAAGGAUGUGGAGUUGCUUAGACAACUAGGAUGUUGGCUUAGAAGCAGCCACCAUUUAAAGAGUGCGUAAUAGCUCACUAGUCGAGUGACUCUGCGCCGAAAAUGUACCGGGGCUAAAUACACCACCGAAGCUGCGGAUUGAUACCGAAUGGUAUCAGUGGUAGGGGAGCGUUCUAAGGACAGUGAAGUCAGACCGGAAGGACUGGUGAAGUGCUUAGAAGUGAGAAUGCCGGUAUGAGUAGCGAAAGACGGGUGAGAAUCCCGUCCACCGAAUGCCUAAGGUUUCCUGAGGAAGGCUCGUCCGCUCAGGGUUAGUCAGGACCUAAGCCGAGGCCGACAGGCGUAGGCGAUGGACAACAGGUUGAUAUUCCUGUACCACCUCUUUAUCGUUUGAGCAAUGGAGGGACGCAGAAGGAUAGAAGAAGCGUGCGAUUGGUUGUGCACGUCCAAGCAGUUAGGCUGAUAAGUAGGCAAAUCCGCUUAUCGUAAAGGCUGAGCUGUGAUGGGGAAGCUCCUUAUGGAGCGAAGUCUUUGAUUCCCCGCUGCCAAGAAAAGCUUCUAGCGAGAUAAAAGGUGCCUGUACCGCAAACCGACACAGGUAGGCGAGGAGAGAAUCCUAAGGUGUGCGAGAGAACUCUGGUUAAGGAACUCGGCAAAAUGACCCCGUAACUUCGGGAGAAGGGGUGCUUUCUUAACGGAAAGCCGCAGUGAAUAGGCCCAAGCGACUGUUUAGCAAAAACACAGCUCUCUGCGAAGCCGUAAGGCGAAGUAUAGGGGGUGACACCUGCCCGGUGCUGGAAGGUUAAGGAGAGGGGUUAGCGUAAGCGAAGCUCUGAACUGAAGCCCCAGUAAACGGCGGCCGUAACUAUAACGGUCCUAAGGUAGCGAAAUUCCUUGUCGGGUAAGUUCCGACCCGCACGAAAGGUGUAACGAUUUGGGCACUGUCUCAACCAGAGACUCGGUGAAAUUAUAGUACCUGUGAAGAUGCAGGUUACCCGCGACAGGACGGAAAGACCCCGUGGAGCUUUACUGUAGCCUGAUAUUGAAUUUUGGUACAGUUUGUACAGGAUAGGCGGGAGCCAUUGAAACCGGAGCGCUAGCUUCGGUGGAGGCGCUGGUGGGAUACCGCCCUGACUGUAUUGAAAUUCUAACCUACGGGUCUUAUCGACCCGGGAGACAGUGUCAGGUGGGCAGUUUGACUGGGGCGGUCGCCUCCUAAAGUGUAACGGAGGCGCCCAAAGGUUCCCUCAGAAUGGUUGGAAAUCAUUCGUAGAGUGCAAAGGCAUAAGGGAGCUUGACUGCGAGACCUACAAGUCGAGCAGGGACGAAAGUCGGGCUUAGUGAUCCGGUGGUUCCGCAUGGAAGGGCCAUCGCUCAACGGAUAAAAGCUACCCCGGGGAUAACAGGCUUAUCUCCCCCAAGAGUCCACAUCGACGGGGAGGUUUGGCACCUCGAUGUCGGCUCAUCGCAUCCUGGGGCUGUAGUCGGUCCCAAGGGUUGGGCUGUUCGCCCAUUAAAGCGGUACGCGAGCUGGGUUCAGAACGUCGUGAGACAGUUCGGUCCCUAUCCGUCGUGGGCGUAGGAAAUUUGAGAGGAGCUGUCCUUAGUACGAGAGGACCGGGAUGGACGCACCGCUGGUGUACCAGUUGUUCUGCCAAGGGCAUAGCUGGGUAGCUAUGUGCGGAAGGGAUAAGUGCUGAAAGCAUCUAAGCAUGAAGCCCCCCUCAAGAUGAGAUUUCCCAUAGCGUAAGCUAGUAAGAUCCCUGAAAGAUGAUCAGGUUGAUAGGUUCGAGGUGGAAGCAUGGUGACAUGUGGAGCUGACGAAUACUAAUAGAUCGAGGACUUAACCAUAUAA